Bos taurus (domestic cattle) is the source of this 589-nucleotide long non-coding RNA. The record is from Ensembl. Lineage: Eukaryota; Metazoa; Chordata; Mammalia; Artiodactyla; Bovidae.
GUUUAGACCCAGAUGGACUUAAUUUCCAGAAGUAUCCUUUUGAGACAGGACUGCCCCAACACUCUGGGACUGAGAGAACUCCACUCCCCACCUUCUCCCACUGGGUUUCCUUGGGCUGAAACAGAACUAGAAUGGACUUGGGGGAGUAGACAAAUUCUGAGCUCCUUGGGCAGAGCGAUUCUGCCCUGGACGCGGGCAAACGCUGGCAUCUCCUCGUCUGGAGAGGAGAGCGGAGCAGUCGUUUCAGGGCAUGGAGGUCAUGCAUUGGCUGCGGAUGAGCUUUGCUUCGCUGGCCUCUCCGCUGUUCUCUCACUGAGGCAGUGAAGGGUGAAAGUGACCACCCUUGGCGGUGACUAUCCUGCGGGGUGGAGGAGAGAAGGCUCGACGUCCUCUAGCACGCGGUGGGCGCCCAUCCAGAACAGAACAGGGAAGGGUUACAGGAGACCUAAACCUGAGGUUGGAGUUAAACACAUCGCAGGGAGAGUCAGAAGGGGUGAAGGUCGAGGCUCGGGAUGGAAGAAUUGGUCCCGGGCCGCCAGGGUGCAGACGGCGGGCUCAGGGACCCAGCGGAAGGCCGGCCGGGCACGCC